RNAcentral lists this unclassified non-coding RNA (212 nucleotides) under plant metagenome. Its description in RNAcentral is "partial contains small subunit ribosomal RNA, internal transcribed spacer 1, and 5.8S ribosomal RNA". The record is from RNAcentral.
UUUCCGUAGGUGAACCUGCGGAAGGAUCAUUAAAAAUGAAGCCGGGAAACCGGUCCUUCUAACCCUUGAUUAUCUUAAUUUGUUGCUUUGGUGGGCCGCGCAAGCACCGGCUUCGGCUGGAUCGUGCCCGCCAGAGGACACAACUCUGUAUCAAAUGCCGACUGAGUACUAUAAAAUAGUUAAAACUUUCAACAACGGAUCUCUUGGUUCUG